Firmicutes bacterium CAG:646 is the source of this 52-nucleotide regulatory RNA element. It matches the Rfam family "S4-Clostridia ribosomal protein leader". NCBI's taxonomy places the organism in Bacteria, Bacillati, Bacillota. The record is from Rfam.
GAAAGGUCAUGGAAACAUGGCUGGAUGCUUACAUACCGGCAUCCCAAUUAGG